AACGAACGCUGGCGGCAUGCCUAACACAUGCAAGUCGAACGAGACCUUCGGGUCUAGUGGCGCACGGGUGUGUAACGCGUGGGAAUCUACCCUCAGGUUCGGAAUAACUCAGAGAAAUUUGAGCUAAUACCGGAUGAUGACGUAAGUCCAAAGAUUUAUCGCCUGAGGAUGAGCCCGCGUAGGAUUAGGUAGUUGGUGAGGUAAAGGCUCACCAAGCCGACGAUCCUUAGCUGGUCUGAGAGGAUGAUCAGCCACACUGGGACUGAGACACGGCCCAGACUCCUACGGGAGGCAGCAGUGGGGAAUAUUGGACAAUGGGCGAAAGCCUGAUCCAGCAAUGCCGCGUGAGUGAUGAAGGCCUUAGGGUUGUAAAGCUCUUUUACCCGGGAUGAUAAUGACAGUACCGGGAGAAUAAGCUCCGGCUAACUCCGUG
RNAcentral lists this ribosomal RNA (433 nucleotides) under uncultured bacterium. RNAcentral describes it as "partial 16S ribosomal RNA". It matches the Rfam family "Bacterial small subunit ribosomal RNA", at positions 29 to 507 of the family's 1533-position model. The record is from RNAcentral.